Molecule: long non-coding RNA, 686 nt
Filed under: Erythranthe guttata (spotted monkey flower)
Lineage: Eukaryota; Viridiplantae; Streptophyta; Magnoliopsida; Lamiales; Phrymaceae
Description: long non-coding RNA (EGUT_LNC002785)
Source: RNAcentral
CUUAGUUGUAUUAGUAGAGCCCUACAAAAUUAGAGCCCAUUAGGUUAGAUAAAUUCUUCACGUAAGGAACAAGGAAUUAUGACAACAAGGAAAGUCUUAGCCAAAUAAAUUCCUUGUUAAUCAAACACUAAGGUAAUUAAAUAAAUUAAUGACAAAAUAAGAGUUUAAAGAACUAAGGAAACUUCCCUAGUUUUUAUACACGUUUUUCGUACACGUCUUGAAAAACCGAAAUAGAAUCCUCUCGGAUUCUAACAAUCUCCCCCUUUGUCAUCUAUUUAUUAUAAUCAAGUCCUCCCCCUUGAUCAAAUACCUGACAAAACAUUAGACUGCAUAAUAGAGUAACUGUUAGAACAGUUAAAGGAAAAAGCAGUUAACGAAACAAGAAAAAAGUUAAGCCUAGCAGACUAUUAGAGGCCGUUGUUCAGAAAAUCAAUUCGACAACCACAAAAAAAACUACUCCAGAAUAUAUUCAGCAUCAACGAACAACUCCUCGUCAUCAUUCGUAUCAACUCCUCGUCAUCAUUCGUAUCAACUUCAGCUGUUGUACCAUCAACUGUUGGAACAGUUGGAGCAACAACAGUUCAGUAGUAGUUCCAGCAGCUGCAUCAGCUCCCCCUGUAUGUGGUUCCUCCUGGGUUGAUGCUUCGUUGUCAACUCCCCCUCAAGAAUAAUCUCCCCCUUUCUGA